GGUUAAGCGACUAAGCGUACACGGUGGAUGCCCUGGCAGUCAGAGGCGAUGAAGGACGUGCUAAUCUGCGAUAAGCGUCGGUAAGGUGAUAUGAACCGUUAUAACCGGCGAUUUCCGAAUGGGGAAACCCAGUGUGAUUCGUCACACUAUCAUUAACUGAAUCCAUAGGUUAAUGAGGCGAACCGGGGGAACUGAAACAUCUAAGUACCCCGAGGAAAAGAAAUCAACCGAGAUUCCCCCAGUAGCGGCGAGCGAACGGGGAGCAGCCCAGAGCCUGAAUCAGUGUGUGUGUUAGUGGAAGCGUCUGGAAAGGCGUGCGAUACAGGGUGACAGCCCCGUACACAAAAAUGCACAUACUGUGAGCUCGAUGAGUAGGGCGGGACACGUGGUAUCCUGUCUGAAUAUGGGGGGACCAUCCUCCAAGGCUAAAUACUCCUGACUGACCGAUAGUGAACCAGUACCGUGAGGGAAAGGCGAAAAGAACCCCGGCGAGGGGAGUGAAAAAGAACCUGAAACCGUGUACGUACAAGCAGUGGGAGCACGCUUAGGCGUGUGACUGCGUACCUUUUGUAUAAUGGGUCAGCGACUUAUAUUCUGUAGCAAGGUUAACCGAAUAGGGGAGCCGAAGGGAAACCGAGUCUUAACUGGGCGUUAAGUUGCAGGGUAUAGACCCGAAACCCGGUGAUCUAGCCAUGGGCAGGUUGAAGGUUGGGUAACACUAACUGGAGGACCGAACCGACUAAUGUUGAAAAAUUAGCGGAUGACUUGUGGCUGGGGGUGAAAGGCCAAUCAAACCGGGAGAUAGCUGGUUCUCCCCGAAAGCUAUUUAGGUAGCGCCUCGUGAAUUCAUCUCCGGGGGUAGAGCACUGUUUCGGCAAGGGGGUCAUCCCGACUUACCAACCCGAUGCAAACUGCGAAUACCGGAGAAUGUUAUCACGGGAGACACACGGCGGGUGCUAACGUCCGUCGUGAAGAGGGAAACAACCCAGACCGCCAGCUAAGGUCCCAAAGUCAUGGUUAAGUGGGAAACGAUGUGGGAAGGCCCAGACAGCCAGGAUGUUGGCUUAGAAGCAGCCAUCAUUUAAAGAAAGCGUAAUAGCUCACUGGUCGAGUCGGCCUGCGCGGAAGAUGUAACGGGGCUAAACCAUGCACCGAAGCUGCGGCAGCGACGCUUAUGCGUUGUUGGGUAGGGGAGCGUUCUGUAAGCCUGUGAAGGUGUACUGUGAGGUAUGCUGGAGGUAUCAGAAGUGCGAAUGCUGACAUAAGUAACGAUAAAGCGGGUGAAAAGCCCGCUCGCCGGAAGACCAAGGGUUCCUGUCCAACGUUAAUCGGGGCAGGGUGAGUCGACCCCUAAGGCGAGGCCGAAAGGCGUAGUCGAUGGGAAACAGGUUAAUAUUCCUGUACUUGGUGUUACUGCGAAGGGGGGACGGAGAAGGCUAUGUUGGCCGGGCGACGGUUGUCCCGGUUUAAGCGUGUAGGCUGGUUUUCCAGGCAAAUCCGGAAAACUAAGGCUGAGGCGUGAUGACGAGGCACUACGGUGCUGAAGCAACAAAUGCCCUGCUUCCAGGAAAAGCCUCUAAGCAUCAGGUAACAUCAAAUCGUACCCCAAACCGACACAGGUGGUCAGGUAGAGAAUACCAAGGCGCUUGAGAGAACUCGGGUGAAGGAACUAGGCAAAAUGGUGCCGUAACUUCGGGAGAAGGCACGCUGAUAUGUAGGUGAAGUCCCUCGCGGAUGGAGCUGAAAUCAGUCGAAGAUACCAGCUGGCUGCAACUGUUUAUUAAAAACACAGCACUGUGCAAACACGAAAGUGGACGUAUACGGUGUGACGCCUGCCCGGUGCCGGAAGGUUAAUUGAUGGGGUUAGCGCAAGCGAAGCUCUUGAUCGAAGCCCCGGUAAACGGCGGCCGUAACUAUAACGGUCCUAAGGUAGCGAAAUUCCUUGUCGGGUAAGUUCCGACCUGCACGAAUGGCGUAAUGAUGGCCAGGCUGUCUCCACCCGAGACUCAGUGAAAUUGAACUCGCUGUGAAGAUGCAGUGUACCCGCGGCAAGACGGAAAGACCCCGUGAACCUUUACUAUAGCUUGACACUGAACAUUGAGCCUUGAUGUGUAGGAUAGGUGGGAGGCUUUGAAGUGUGGACGCCAGUCUGCAUGGAGCCGACCUUGAAAUACCACCCUUUAAUGUUUGAUGUUCUAACGUUGACCCGUAAUCCGGGUUGCGGACAGUGUCUGGUGGGUAGUUUGACUGGGGCGGUCUCCUCCUAAAGAGUAACGGAGGAGCACGAAGGUUGGCUAAUCCUGGUCGGACAUCAGGAGGUUAGUGCAAUGGCAUAAGCCAGCUUGACUGCGAGCGUGACGGCGCGAGCAGGUGCGAAAGCAGGUCAUAGUGAUCCGGUGGUUCUGAAUGGAAGGGCCAUCGCUCAACGGAUAAAAGGUACUCCGGGGAUAACAGGCUGAUACCGCCCAAGAGUUCAUAUCGACGGCGGUGUUUGGCACCUCGAUGUCGGCUCAUCACAUCCUGGGGCUGAAGUAGGUCCCAAGGGUAUGGCUGUUCGCCAUUUAAAGUGGUACGCGAGCUGGGUUUAGAACGUCGUGAGACAGUUCGGUCCCUAUCUGCCGUGGGCGCUGGAGAACUGAGGGGGGCUGCUCCUAGUACGAGAGGACCGGAGUGGACGCAUCACUGGUGUUCGGGUUGUCAUGCCAAUGGCACUGCCCGGUAGCUAAAUGCGGAAGAGAUAAGUGCUGAAAGCAUCUAAGCACGAAACUUGCCCCGAGAUGAGUUCUCCCUGACUCCUUGAGAGUCCUGAAGGAACGUUGAAGACGACGACGUUGAUAGGCCGGGUGUGUAAGCGCAGCGAUGCGUUGAGCUAACCGGUACUAAUGAACCGUGAGGCUUAACCUU
This 2904-nucleotide ribosomal RNA is filed under the name Escherichia coli. RNAcentral's name for it is "23S ribosomal RNA". It matches the Rfam family "Bacterial large subunit ribosomal RNA". Lineage: Bacteria; Pseudomonadati; Pseudomonadota; Gammaproteobacteria; Enterobacterales; Enterobacteriaceae. The record is from RNAcentral.